This is a non-coding RNA of Callithrix jacchus (white-tufted-ear marmoset), 79 nucleotides long. Lineage: Eukaryota; Metazoa; Chordata; Mammalia; Primates; Cebidae. The record is from Rfam.
UUGGGGUGAGGUAGUAGGUUGUAUAGUUUGGGGCUCUGCCCUCCUGUGGAGUAACUAUGCAAUCUACUGUCUUUCCUGA